ACGCUCGACACCUACGGGGGGCAGCAGUGGGGGAUAUUGCACAAUGGGGGGAACCCUGAUGCAGCGACGCCGCGUGAGGGAAGAAGGUUUUCGGAUUGUAAACCUCUGUCCUCAGGGAAGAAGAUGACGGUACCUGAGGAGGAAGCCACGGCUAACUACGUGCCGGCAGCCGCGGUAAUCUGAGCGGGCUGGCAAGGC
RNAcentral lists this ribosomal RNA (198 nucleotides) under uncultured bacterium. Its description in RNAcentral is "partial 16S ribosomal RNA". It matches the Rfam family "Bacterial small subunit ribosomal RNA", at positions 328 to 539 of the family's 1533-position model. The record is from RNAcentral.